This 828-nucleotide ribosomal RNA is filed under the name uncultured bacterium. RNAcentral's name for it is "bacterial SSU rRNA". It matches the Rfam family "Bacterial small subunit ribosomal RNA", at positions 44 to 885 of the family's 1533-position model. The record is from RNAcentral.
GCGCCUAACACAUGCAAGUCGAACGAGCGAGAUAAAGCUUGCUUUCUCAAGCGAGUGGCGAACGGGUGAGUAACGCGUGAGGAACCUGCCUCAAAGAGGGGGACAACAGUUGGAAACGACUGCUAAUACCGCAUAAGCCCACGACCCGGCAUCGGGUAGGGGGAAAAGGAGCAAUCCGCUUUGAGAUGGCCUCGCGUCCGAUUAGCUAGUUGGUGAGGUAAUGGCCCACCAAGGCGACGAUCGGUAGCCGGACUGAGAGGUUGAACGGCCACAUUGGGACUGAGACACGGCCCAGACUCCUACGGGAGGCAGCAGUGGGGAAUAUUGCACAAUGGGGGAAACCCUGAUGCAGCGACGCCGCGUGGAGGAAGAAGGUCUUCGGAUUGUAAACUCCUGUUGUUGAGGAAGAUAAUGACGGUACUCAACAAGGAAGUGACGGCUAACUACGUGCCAGCAGCCGCGGUAAAACGUAGGUCACAAGCGUUGUCCGGAAUUACUGGGUGUAAAGGGAGCGCAGGCGGGAAGACAAGUUGGAAGUGAAAUCCAUGGGCUCAACCCAUGAACUGCUUUCAAAACUGUUUUUCUUGAGUAGUGCAGAGGUAGGCGGAAUUCCCGGUGUAGCGGUGGAAUGCGUAGAUAUCGGGAGGAACACCAGUGGCGAAGGCGGCCUACUGGGCACCAACUGACGCUAAGGCUCGAAAGUGUGGGUAGCAAACAGGAUUAGAUACCCUGGUAGUCCACACUGUAAACGAUGAUUACUAGGUGUUGGAGGAUUGACCCCUUCAGUGCCGCAGUUAACACAUUAAGUAAUCCACCUGGGGAGUACGA